CGCAGGGGCGAGGCUCCGGGGCCGCGUGUAGGAGCGGCGGCAGGCGCGUUGCGGCCAGCGGCGGCGUGAGCUGGAAUGCUGCGCAGGCGGGCGCGCUGCGUUCGCCGGCCAGCAGAAAGCGUGCGGGCGAGACUAGACGGCGGCGGGUGCUCGGCGCCGAAUGAGACGGCAGCGGGCGCGCGGGUGGGGAGGGGCUGCGCGCGGCGGGAUCCGUCGCCGGGCGGUCGCGCUGGCCAGCGGCAGUGAGCAAGCGGAGCCAAGCCAGCAGCAGCACGCAGCGGCCGUGAGAUUCCAGCGCCGAGCAAGCAACACGAUGGGAUCCGGUAAUUGCGCUUUGGAGCACCUAAUUUUUUACGGCACACUCUGCUUCGGAUACGGGAAGGUGAUGAUGCUACAAUGAGUCAAUCAAGCCCAGCAAUCAGCCUUCUGCGGAUUCACAAUUAUUACCAGGAAUAGUAAAAAAUUCAUUGAUUUGGUUGAAUGAUCUUGUUAAUUACUGAAUUCAUCAUCAUUACUUAGUUACCGAUGAUUUCUCAAAUUACUACGAUACUAAAAUUAUUGAUGUACCAUGGCUAGUUGUUUUCGAUGAAACAAAAAAGGUACAUUGCUAAUGAUCUCUUGUAUUACUAGAUUACUGAUUGUAUUGGUCACCACAUGUUCCUAAAAUCACUGGCUGUACUGGACCUCUCUAUUACUGAAUCCAAGCAUGUAUAUAUGGUGUGACA
Molecule: long non-coding RNA, 725 nt
Organism: Panicum virgatum (switchgrass)
Lineage: Eukaryota; Viridiplantae; Streptophyta; Magnoliopsida; Poales; Poaceae
Exons: 2
Source: RefSeq, a predicted model, not a curated record